UCCAGACUCCUACGGGAGGCAGCAGUGGGGGAUAUUGCACAAUGGGGGAAACCCUGAUGCAGCGACGCCGCGUGUGGGAAGACGGUCCUCUGGAUUGUAAACCACUGUCCCCAGGGACGAAGAUGACGGUACCUGGGGAGGAAGCUCCGGCUAACUACGUGCCAGCAGCCGCGGUAAUACGGAGGAUGCGAGCGUUAUCCGGAUUUAUUGGGUUUAAAGGGUGCGUAGGCGGAUUUUUAAGUCAGCGGUAAAAUGUCCGGGCUCAACCCGGGCCGGCCGUUGAAACUGGGGAUCUUGAGUGGGCGAGAAGUAUGCGGAAUGCGUGGUGUAGCGGUGAAAUGCAUAGAUAUCACGCAGAACUCCGAUUGCGAAGGCAGCAUACCGGCGCCCGACUGACGCUGAGGCACGAAAGCGUGGGGAUCGAACAGGAUUAGAUACCCGAGUAA
Molecule: ribosomal RNA, 446 nt
Filed under: uncultured bacterium
Lineage: Bacteria
Description: bacterial SSU rRNA
Rfam family: Bacterial small subunit ribosomal RNA
Source: RNAcentral